GUGGGGAAUCUUCCGCAAUGGACGAAAGUCUGACGGAGCAACGCCGCGUGAGUGAUGACGGCCUUCGGGUUGUAAAGCUCUGUUAAUCGGGACGAAAGGCCUUCUUGCGAAUAGUGAGAAGGAUUGACGGUACCGGAAUAGAAAGCCACGGCUAACUACGUGCCAGCAGCCGCGGUAAUACGUAGGUGGCAAGCGUUGUCCGGAAUUAUUGGGCGUAAAGCGCGCGCAGGCGGAUAGGUCAGUCUGUCUUAAAAGUUCGGGGCUUAACCCCGUGAUGGGAUGGAAACUGCCAAUCUAGAGUAUCGGAGAGGAAAGUGGAAUUCCUAGUGUAGCGGUGAAAUGCGUAGAUAUUAGGAAGAACACCAGUGGCGAAGGCGACUUUCUGGACGAAAACUGACGCUGAGGCGCGAAAGCCAGGGGAGCGAACGGGAUUAGAUACCCUAGUAGUCC
RNAcentral lists this ribosomal RNA (450 nucleotides) under uncultured Veillonellaceae bacterium. RNAcentral describes it as "bacterial SSU rRNA". It matches the Rfam family "Bacterial small subunit ribosomal RNA", at positions 354 to 796 of the family's 1533-position model. The record is from RNAcentral. Lineage: Bacteria; Bacillati; Bacillota; Negativicutes; Veillonellales; Veillonellaceae.